AUUGAACGCCGGCGGCAUGCCUUACACAUGCAAGUCGUACGGUAACAGGUUAAGCUGACGAGUGGCGAACGGGUGCGUAAUGCAUCGGAACGUGCCCAGUCGUGGGGGAUAACUGCUCGAAAGAGCAGCUAAUACCGCAUCCGAUCGAUGGAUGCAAGCGGGGGACCGUAAGGCCUCGCGCGACUGGAGCGGCCGAUGCCAGAUUAGGUAGUUGGUGGGGUAAAGGCGCACCCAGCCAACGAUCUGUAGCUAGUCUGAGAGGACGACCAGCCACACUGGGACUGAGACACGGCACAGACUCCUACGGGAGGCAGCAGUGGGGAAUUUUGGACAAUGGGGGCAACCCUGAUCAAGCAAUGCCGCGUGCAGGAAGAAGGCCUUCGGGUUGUAAACUGCUUUUGUACGAAACGAAACGGUCUGGGUUAAUACCCUGGGCUAAUGACGGUACCGUAAGAAUAAGCACCGGCUAACUACGUGCCAGCCGCCGCGGUAA
This 493-nucleotide ribosomal RNA is filed under the name uncultured bacterium. RNAcentral describes it as "partial 16S ribosomal RNA". It matches the Rfam family "Bacterial small subunit ribosomal RNA", at positions 30 to 523 of the family's 1533-position model. The record is from RNAcentral.